RNAcentral lists this ribosomal RNA (465 nucleotides) under Vreelandella stevensii. RNAcentral's name for it is "partial 16S ribosomal RNA". It matches the Rfam family "Bacterial small subunit ribosomal RNA", at positions 338 to 795 of the family's 1533-position model. The record is from RNAcentral. Lineage: Bacteria; Pseudomonadati; Pseudomonadota; Gammaproteobacteria; Oceanospirillales; Halomonadaceae.
CCUACGGGUGGCAGCAGUGGGGAAUAUUGGACAAUGGGGGGAACCCUGAUCCAGCCAUGCCGCGUGUGUGAAGAAGGCCCUCGGGGUGUAAAGCACUUUCAGUGAGGAAGAACGCCUGGUGGUUAAUACCCAUCAGGAAAGACAUCACUCACAGAAGAAGCACCGGCUAACUCCGUGCCAGCAGCCGCGGUAAUACGGAGGGUGCGAGCGUUAAUCGGAAUUACUGGGCGUAAAGCGCGCGUAGGUGGCUUGAUAAGCCGGUUGUGAAAGCCCCGGGCUCAACCUGGGAACGGCAUCCGGAACUGUCAAGCUAGAGUGCAGGAGAGGAAGGUAGAAUUCCCGGUGUAGCGGUGAAAUGCGUAGAGAUCGGGAGGAAUACCAGUGGCGAAGGCGGCCUUCUGGACUGACACUGACACUGAGGUGCGAAAGCGUGGGUAGCAAACAGGAUUAGAUACCCUAGUAGUC